Molecule: long non-coding RNA, 669 nt
Organism: Solea solea (common sole)
Lineage: Eukaryota; Metazoa; Chordata; Actinopteri; Pleuronectiformes; Soleidae
Exons: 3
Source: RefSeq, a predicted model, not a curated record
AGCUCCAGGGCUGGAUGGAUUUCCAGUUGACUUCUAUGAAAGAGUAGGCUCUCUUCUUUCAUCUGGAAAAAAAAGUUUCCGUUCACUAGUAAUCGGCAUUAGAACAUACACCCCUUAUUUUAACAACCCAACUGCCGGGUUAUGAAAUGUUUAACCCAUUAUGGGUUAUUUAUAUAGGAUAUGGGUCACGUUUGUGCAACUCAUGUGGUGGGUCAAAAUCCAUCAACCCAACAUACAUCGGUUAACUCAGCACCUGGGUUGUUUGUGCUUCGAACGUCAUCACGUGGACAGAAGGUUCACACACCAAGCACCAAGCGCUCACGCGAAUCAGAACCUGACUCAGCAUCGUCGUCGUCGUGAAGCAGAUAAUAAAAGAUCAAUGGACAGCUUUGUCAUCAAUACUUUGACAUAGUGGCAACUGACAGACCUUAUAGAAAGAUUCCAAGAAGAGGAUUGAUGAGGAAAGUUUUCUUCUUUUAGAUGAGGCCACCAUCAAAGAGCUGAUCACAAGCUGGUCCUAGGCUCAAGUUUCUCAAGAAGUUUCUCAAGAAGGAUCAAUUCUUCAGUUGUCCGGGAGUGAAAACUGGUCAAGUUCCUCCAAACAAGAGUACUUGCAUGCAAGGAGCAUGUUUAGGUGUUUACUGAUACUCAUUUGAACUGUUCCAUGCA